RNAcentral lists this ribosomal RNA (253 nucleotides) under uncultured bacterium. RNAcentral's name for it is "partial 16S ribosomal RNA". It matches the Rfam family "Bacterial small subunit ribosomal RNA", at positions 524 to 776 of the family's 1533-position model. The record is from RNAcentral.
UACGUAGGGUGCGAGCGUUAAUCGGAAUUACUGGCGUAAAGCGUGCGCAGGCGGUCCUUCAAGUCAGAUGUGAAAGCCCCGGGCUCAACCUGGGAACAGCAUUUGAGACUGGAGGACUUGAGGACGGGAGAGGAGAGUGGAAUUCCCAGUGUAGAGGUGAAAUUCGUAGAUAUUGGGAAGAACACCAAUGGCGAAGGCGGCCUGCUGGGCAGUUACUGGACACUGAGGCGCGACAGCGUGGGGAGCAACAGGG